Molecule: ribosomal RNA, 100 nt
Filed under: Desulfobotulus mexicanus
Lineage: Bacteria; Pseudomonadati; Thermodesulfobacteriota; Desulfobacteria; Desulfobacterales; Desulfobacteraceae
Description: Desulfobotulus sp. PAR22N partial 23S ribosomal RNA
Rfam family: Bacterial large subunit ribosomal RNA
Source: RNAcentral
UAAAGACCCCUUGGAGACUACAAGGUUGAUAGGCCGGGUGUGUAAGUGCAGUAAUGCAUGGAGCUUACCGGUACUAAUCGGUCGUGAGGCUUAGCCACAA